Molecule: transfer RNA, 77 nt
Filed under: Pseudomonadota bacterium
Lineage: Bacteria; Pseudomonadati; Pseudomonadota
Also listed under: 2 other names
Description: Proteobacteria bacterium (marine sediment metagenome) tRNA-Asn
Rfam family: tRNA
About the family: Transfer RNA (tRNA) molecules are approximately 80 nucleotides in length. Their secondary structure includes four short double-helical elements and three loops (D, anti-codon, and T loops). Further hydrogen bonds mediate the characteristic L-shaped molecular structure. tRNAs have two regions of fundamental functional importance: the anti-codon, which is responsible for specific mRNA codon recognition, and the 3' end, to which the tRNAs corresponding amino acid is attached (by aminoacyl-tRNA synthetases). tRNAs cope with the degeneracy of the genetic code in two manners: having more than one tRNA (with a specific anti-codon) for a particular amino acid; and 'wobble' base-pairing, i.e. permitting non-standard base-pairing at the 3rd anti-codon position.
Source: RNAcentral
UCCCCGGUAGCUCAAUUGGUAGUAGCGGAUGGCUGUUAACCAUCAGGUUGCAGGUUCGAGUCCUGCCCGGGGAGCCA